UCCCACACGUGCCCCAACCGGGCGGGGAUUGAGCCUGCAACUGAGGACCAGAGUUGGACCCAGGACCUUCAGUCCACGCGCCGACUAGGGCCAGGUAUGACAUUUUGAUGACGUCCCCUGGCAGUCAGAGGUGCUCCGUGUCACGUCCUGUCUGGAGCAGCCACUGCCUCGGGUGUUUCUCCGUCCGAUCCAGACCCGCUGCACCUGAAAUGAGAAGUGGGAUCACAGCCCCACUCCUCGCUGCUCUCACCUCUCCGAGGCGGCUUAGUCUGUCCCCGUGUCCCCUGCAGUGUUACUGGAACCUGGAGAUUCCCAGCAGCACAGACCGCCCUCCUCUGUGCAGGGCUUUCUGCUUGGAAUUCACUGUGUCUGAUGUCCACAGGCCAGGCCUGCACCUGCGCCCGCCCACCCGGCCGCGUCCUGUUUGCAUUUGACUGAAGUACCUGUCGGUUAUUUUCAUCCGUUGAGAGUAUGUUCUGCCUUCCCACAUUUCUGAGGCCUCCUAAGGCCAGAGCUCUGUUACUUCAUCGUCAGGUUGGGACUUAGAUGGCCGUUCAUGGUUCCCCUCUCCUGCUGCAAUCAGUAAGUGCCUCUCCUUUGUGGUGUGUUUGGGUUGAAGCUGGAGGGAGGCUGUGAGGCAGAUGGGCCAGGAGGAGGGUCGGGUGGAGGGAGCCGGGUGAGAGGUUUGGGGGCUGGGCCUUCAGGACUGGCUCUGAGCCCAUCUGGUCAUCCACAAACCAUGUGUGUGUGUGUAUGCCUGUGCAUGGCUAUGUGUACGACUCAUGUAUGUCUAUGACUGUGUAUGUCUGUGUAUGACUUUAUAUAUGACUCGUGUGUGUGUGACUAUUACUGUAACAGUGUGUGUAUGAGUGUGGGUGACUAUAGGACUCGUGUGUGUGUGUGUGUGUGUGUGAAGUGGGGCUGGCUCAGCUCGCAUUCAAUCCUCGGAAUGAGUAGAAAGGACCCAGUUCUCCGCUGUGUGUGACCCUGAGCAGGAUUCACCCCUCUGUGAGCCUCAGCUUCUCACCUGGCCUUGCUGGGGAGGGACUUCUGAACUCCUUGAGCUGACAUGAGGGGCCAGGACUGCUCCCGGUGAGAGGCGGGGCAGGACUCCCGGACUAGAACUGCAGAGCUAGUGGGAGCUGCUCCCACCAGACCCGCCGGGGGCCCGGGGGUGCAGAGUCUGGGCUGGGAGCAGUGGGUGCUGCGGGCAGGGGGCUUGGAGGGUGGCCUGGGGCAGAUACUGGCUAAGGGUCCAGAUUGGGCUUCGUGGAUCUUGGGCCCUGGCGACUUGGACCCGUCCUCCCCGGAACUCAGACUCCAGUGAGUCCGAGGAGAGGAGAGAGGCCGGUGGGGGCACUGAGCGUCCGACUUCAUGUUCGAGUAGCGGCAGUUCCCGGGAAGGAUCCACAGCGGCGCUGGAGAGCGGUAGGAGGCCUGCAAGCCGGCAGGUGGGCGUUUGUGCACCCCACGUGGCCAGGGCGCAGCAGACCUAGGUCACCGCUGGCAUUUGAGCUAGGCCGGAGUGCUCAACCUGCCCCCUAGGUCUUAGGUUUCCUGUUCUGAU
Myotis davidii is the source of this 1567-nucleotide long non-coding RNA. RefSeq lists it as uncharacterized. The transcript has 2 exons. The record is from RefSeq and is a predicted model, not a curated record. Lineage: Eukaryota; Metazoa; Chordata; Mammalia; Chiroptera; Vespertilionidae.